Meriones unguiculatus (Mongolian gerbil) is the source of this 1408-nucleotide long non-coding RNA. RefSeq lists it as uncharacterized. The record is from RefSeq and is a predicted model, not a curated record. NCBI's taxonomy places the organism in Eukaryota, Metazoa, Chordata, Mammalia, Rodentia, Muridae. The transcript has 2 exons.
GAACUGUCUUCGAAAUGGCCAAAGCAGGAAGCAGGUUUUGGUCACCUGUCAAAUGUUUAACUCGAGGGACAAGGAUGGGACUCUCAUCAUUCUUCAACACACAGGCUGGGGGGGGGGCGGUAAUGGAGGCUGACCCGGGGCAGAAAGUUCCUGGAGGACGGGAUGUGUCGAGGGGCAACACCCGUGGCCCCCCUCCUGCUGCUAGCCAUAACCUCUCUGCAAGUGUUUGUUCCUGCUGAAGGCACCCAACUCAGUAACUCAGCGCCUUGUCUUGGUCACUGAGCCUUGGCGCAAGGCUAGUUGUGGGGCCAGUUAGGACUACAGCCCCGGAGAUCCUAAAUUCACAUCUUUGGCAGAGUUCAGGCAGAUGUGUCUUCUUCUACAGGUUUUUCGAGAGAAAGGUCCUGUCAGUCCAGCUCACUAGCUUUUCCAUCAGUUUCCUCCCGUGGGGAGGGUAUGUGGGCGUGGGCGGCGAAACGUGGAUCCCUUUGGUCCAUGCCACCACGCACACGCUUCUCCGAGAAGCCCUGGCUGUGCUCAUCUGACAUGAGAGUCACACUGAGUCCAGCUUCUUCGGGUGCCUGUGCUGGCUAGGAGGCUCUCCUGAGGGCAGAGGCCCCAACCCCACCAGCAAGAAUCAGAGCUGCACCAGCGAGGAGCCCGGCAGAUUGCACUGUGCUGAAAACCUGUUUGUUCUGUCUGCUGAGGUCACCGCUCGAGUAGGUCACCAGAGAUGGUGGAGGAAUUCUGCUUAUUCAUUCUAACACUCGAGUGACAGUCCCCAGCCUCGUCGCUUGAUUUGAGCCUCAUUGUCUGCAAGUUUUGGUAACCCCACUACCUACCCACUCUCUUGUGAAAGGGCUUAUAUACAUAUACAUAAGCAAAUACAUGUGUGUGUAUGUUAUUCCCCACUCCGGAUCUAGAGUUCAGCGUGGGCUCGACUGGAAUCUGAGGGCUAAACUGUUUGUUGUCAGGGUUCUCCUCUAACCCCUCUAUCUUCCCCAGCACCCUCCUCCUUUGUCACAUUUGAAACACACAUUUUGUCUUCAAAAUAAAAAUUUAUUCAAUCUGUAACAAGAACACUUAAUCUGCACAUCUGCGCACAAGUUCACAUUUAAAAACAGUGGAGCACAUCGGUAAUAAUAAAAACAACUAUGAUACAAGUGGGACAUCCCAACCACCAGGAUUAAGGAAGGAGAUGAGACCACUCUUUAUAUUCUGCUUUAAAUGCCUCAAAAAGGUCCCAGAGAUUCCAGGGAGCACCUGCUUUUAAUAAAAUGAGAGCACAGAAGUUUGGGGUAGCCUGGGCAAAGGUAACAGUCAGUGCGAGUCUUUUGGACUUAUUUGGGUUUCAAACAAGUCUUACAAAGCAAAGUUAAAAAAAAAAGGGUGGGGCGGGGAAAGGCAC